CCUACGGGAGGCAGCAGUGAGGAAUAUUGGUCAAUGGACGAGAGUCUGAACCAGCCAAGUAGCGUGAAGGAUGACUGCCCUAUGGGUUGUAAACUUCUUUUAUAAAGGAAUAAAACGAGGCACGUGUGCCUCUUUGCAUGUACUUUAUGAAUAAGGAUCGGCUAACUCCGUGCCAGCAGCCGCGGUAAUACGGAGGAUCCGAGCGUUAUCCGGAUUUAUUGGGUUUAAAGGGAGCGUAGAUGGGUUGUUAAGUCAGUUGUGAAAGUUUGCGGCUCAACCGUAAAAUUGCAAUUGAUACUGGCAGUCUUGAGUACGGUUGAGGUACGCGGAAUGCGUGGUGUAGCGGUGAAAUGCUUAGAUAUCACGCAGAACUCCGAUUGCGAAGGCAGCUUACUAACCUGCCACUGACAUUGAUGCUCGAAAGUGUGGGUAUCGAACAGGAUUAGAUACCCUGGUAGUC
This 460-nucleotide ribosomal RNA is filed under the name uncultured bacterium. RNAcentral describes it as "partial 16S ribosomal RNA". It matches the Rfam family "Bacterial small subunit ribosomal RNA", at positions 338 to 795 of the family's 1533-position model. The record is from RNAcentral.